This is a long non-coding RNA of Rhodamnia argentea, 200 nucleotides long. RefSeq lists it as uncharacterized. The record is from RefSeq and is a predicted model, not a curated record. The transcript is spliced from 3 exons. NCBI's taxonomy places the organism in Eukaryota, Viridiplantae, Streptophyta, Magnoliopsida, Myrtales, Myrtaceae.
GUUUCACUCUCCUCUCUAAAACCCCUCAAGGUUCGCCAUGGCCGUAAUGGCGGAUUUCCAGACCUCGACUCACCGAGCCAAGUGGAUAUUCACUCCUCAUGAUUUGGCUGAAAAGUAUAGGGCUGCUAAUCAAAGAGCGGUACAAACUCUUGAGAAGUAUGGAGCGACACGCAUGGAAGUAGAUGUCGAUGGUACGUUGC